AACGAACGCUGGCGGCAUGCCUAACACAUGCAAGUCGAACGUGAUCCGGGGCUUGCUCCGGUGAAAGUGGCGGACGGGUGAGUAACGCGUGGGAACCUGCCCUUUGGUCGGGGAUAACUGCGGGAAACUGCGGCUAAUACCCGAUGUACCCGAGAGGGGAAAGAUUUAUCGCCGAAGGAUGGGCCCGCGUCGGAUUAGGUAGUUGGUGGGGUAACGGCCUACCAAGCCUUCGAUCCGUAGCUGGUCUGAGAGGAUGAUCAGCCAUACUGGGACUGAGAUACGGCCCAGACUCCUACGGGAGGCAGCAGUGGGGAAUAUUGGACAAUGGGCGCAAGCCUGAUCCAGCAAUGCCGCGUGAGUGAAGAAGGCCUUAGGGUUGUAAAGCUCUUUCGGCGGGGACGAUGAUGACGGUACCCGCAGAAGAAGCCCCGGCUAACUCCGUG
This 443-nucleotide ribosomal RNA is filed under the name uncultured bacterium. RNAcentral's name for it is "bacterial SSU rRNA". It matches the Rfam family "Bacterial small subunit ribosomal RNA", at positions 29 to 507 of the family's 1533-position model. The record is from RNAcentral.